This 497-nucleotide ribosomal RNA is filed under the name uncultured bacterium. RNAcentral describes it as "partial 16S ribosomal RNA". It matches the Rfam family "Bacterial small subunit ribosomal RNA", at positions 28 to 507 of the family's 1533-position model. The record is from RNAcentral.
GAUGAACGCUGGCGGCGUGCCUAAUACAUGCAAGUCGAGCGAACAGACGAGGAGCUUGCUCCUCUGACGUUAGCGGCGGACGGGUGAGUAACACGUGGAUAACCUACCUAUAAGACUGGGAUAACUUCGGGAAACCGGAGCUAAUACCGGAUAAUAUAUUGAACCGCAUGGUUCAAUAGUGAAAGACGGUUUUGCUGUCACUUAUAGAUGGAUCCGCGCCGCAUUAGCUAGUUGGUAAGGUAACGGCUUACCAAGGCAACGAUGCGUAGCCGACCUGAGAGGGUGAUCGGCCACACUGGAACUGAGACACGGUCCAGACUCCUACGGGAGGCAGCAGUAGGGAAUCUUCCGCAAUGGGCGAAAGCCUGACGGAGCAACGCCGCGUGAGUGAUGAAGGUCUUCGGAUCGUAAAGCUCUGUUAGUAGGGAAGAACAAAUGUGUAAGUAACUAUGCACGUCUUGACGGUACCUACUCAGAAAGCCACGGCUAACUACGUG